GAACGAACGCUGGCGGCAUGCCUAACACAUGCAAGUCGAACGAGACCUUCGGGUCUAGUGGCGCACGGGUGCGUAACGCGUGGGAAUCUACCCUUGGGUUCGGAAUAACUCAGAGAAAUUUGAGCUAAUACCGGAUGAUGUCGAAAGACCAAAGAUUUAUCGCCCAAGGAUGAGCCCGCGUAGGAUUAGCUAGUUGGUGAGGUAAAGGCUCACCAAGGCAACGAUCCUUAGCUGGUCUGAGAGGAUGAUCAGCCACACUGGGACUGAGACACGGCCCAGACUCCUACGGGAGGCAGCAGUGGGGAAUAUUGGACAAUGGGCGAAAGCCUGAUCCAGCAAUGCCGCGUGAGUGAUGAAGGCCUUAGGGUUGUAAAGCUCUUUUGCCCGGGAUGAUAAUGACAGUACCGGGAGAAUAAGCCCCGGCUAACUCCGUG
This 434-nucleotide ribosomal RNA is filed under the name uncultured bacterium. Its description in RNAcentral is "bacterial SSU rRNA". It matches the Rfam family "Bacterial small subunit ribosomal RNA", at positions 27 to 507 of the family's 1533-position model. The record is from RNAcentral.